Long non-coding RNA from Oncorhynchus tshawytscha (Chinook salmon), 1739 nucleotides. Lineage: Eukaryota; Metazoa; Chordata; Actinopteri; Salmoniformes; Salmonidae. The record is from Ensembl.
AAAUACACAACUCAACACACACAGGUACACACACACCUCAAUACACACAGGUAUACACAACUCAAUACACACAGGUAUACACAACUCAAUACACACAGGUAGACACACAGGUAUACACACUGGUACACACACACCUCAAUACACACAGGUAGACACACAGGUAUACACACCUCAAUACACACACAGGUCUACACACCUCAAUACACACAGGUCUACACACACCUCAAUACACACAGGUCUACACACCUCAAUACACACAGGUAUACACACACUCAAUACACACAGGUAUACACACCUCAAUACACACAGGUAUACACACCUCAAUACACACAGGUAUACACACCUCAAUACACACAGGUAUACACACACCAAUACACACAGGUAUACACACCUCAAUACACACAGGUACAGACACCUGCACUCAAUUCAACUACCGGUAGUGAACACGUGAUCAGAAAUAGUGAAGUCAUGACAGUGUUUUCCUUGCUAUUGUAUCAUACCCCACCUCCCUGUGCAGAUAGGCAAAUGUCUUUAUUCUGUACAUAUCAUAGUCACAACUUCCUUCACAACACUGCCCUUAAAUGAUUGCAUUUCGAAAAGAGAUCUACAUGACCAGAGGUUGUUCUACAUGACCAGAGGUUGUUCUACAUGACCAGAGGUUGUUCUACAUGACCAGAGGUUGUUCUACAUGACCAGAGGUUGUUCUACAUGACCAGAGGUUGUUCUACAUGACCAGAGGUUGUUCUACAUGACCAGAGGUUGUUCUACAUGACCAGAGGUUGUUCUACAUGACCAGAGGUUGUUCUACAUGACCAGAGGUUGUUCUAUAUGACCAGAGGUUGUUCUAUUCUGUUCUAUAUAAAGGUGUGUGUUUGAGAUGGAACAAAUCAACCCUCUUGAACUGAAAUAGGAUGGGGCGGGUAAAAUACAACACACCGUACAGUACCUAGACUUACCAAACACACACUACACACAUACACCCCCCCCCCCGUGGGGUCCAAAUAUUAACCGUGAAACAAGGUCUCUGUGUGUGAUAAAUAAUAUGGGCAUGUGACCUGGUUCAUAUCUCCUCUGUCUAGAUCAGACCACCUCGUCUCUCGAUUGAGACGUCUCUCUCUCUCGGUGUGUGUGUCCGAGACGUCUCUCUCACUCUCUCGGUGUGUGUGUCCGAGACGUCUCUCCCUCUCUCGGUGUGUGUGUCCGAGACGUCUCUCCCUCUCUCGGUGUGUGUGUCCGAGACGUCUCUCCCUCUCUCGGUGUGUGUGUCCGAGACGUCUCUCCCUCUCUCUCGGUGUGUGUGUCCGAGACGUCACUCUCUCGGUGUGUGUGUCCGAGACGUCUCUCACUCUCUCGGUGUGUGUGUCCGAGACGUCUCUCCCUCUCUCGGUGUGUGUGUCCGAGACGUCUCUCCCUCUCUCGGUGUGUGUGUCCGAGACGUCUCUCCCUCUCUCGGUGUGUGUGUCCGAGACGUCUCUCCCUCUCUCGGUGUGUGUGUCCGAGACGUCUCUCCCUCUCUCGGUGUGUGUGUCCGAGACGUCACUCCUCUCUCUCGGUGUGUGUCCGAGACGUCACUCUCUCGGUGUGUGUGUCCGAGACGUCACUCUCUCGGUGUGUGUGUCCGAGACGUCACUCUCUCGGUGUGUGUGUCCGAGACGUCACUCUCUCGGUGUGUGUGUCCGAGACGUCACUCUCUCGGUGUGUGUGUCCGAGACGUCACUCUCUCUGUGUGUGUCCGAGAC